AAAGGUCAUUUUUACUACAGCUACAGUAGUGCCAUAAGCACUGCAUUGUUCACAUCCCAGAGUUCAGAAAGUUUAAUGACGGAACUGAUCACAUCUCCUGCAUAAACCAGAACAAAGACUCUCACCCAAGACUGCGAGGACAGUAUCGUGUCACUUACUGAUGAAUGUACUUCUAACAGGGUCAUGACUUCAACUUGGAGACAACACUGCAAUUCUCCCCAUUUAAAAUAGGGUACCUCUCCAACAUGAUAAAAGCUCCAUCCACUCCAGGGCUACGGGGGGUACUGGAGGGGUCACUCCAGAGCUGCCUGC
Gallus gallus (chicken) is the source of this 312-nucleotide long non-coding RNA. RefSeq lists it as uncharacterized. The transcript is spliced from 3 exons. The record is from RefSeq and is a predicted model, not a curated record. Lineage: Eukaryota; Metazoa; Chordata; Aves; Galliformes; Phasianidae.